RNAcentral lists this ribosomal RNA (464 nucleotides) under uncultured bacterium. RNAcentral describes it as "partial 16S ribosomal RNA". It matches the Rfam family "Bacterial small subunit ribosomal RNA", at positions 338 to 795 of the family's 1533-position model. The record is from RNAcentral.
CCUACGGGUGCAGCAGUGGGGAAUAUUGCGCAAUGGGCGAAAGCCUGACGCAGCGACGCCGCGUGAGGGAUGAAGGUCUUCGGAUCGUAAACCUCUGUCAGCAGGGAAGAACGGUCACUGUGCUAAUCAGCAGUGAAUUGACGGUACCUGCAAAGGAAGCACCGGCUAACUCCGUGCCAGCAGCCGCGGUAAUACGUAGGUGGCAAGCGUUGUCCGGAUUUACUGGGUGUAAAGGGCGUGCAGCCGGGAAGACAAGUCAGAUGUGAAAUCCCGCGGCUCAACCGCGGAACUGCAUUUGAAACUGUUUUUCUUGAGUACCGGAGAGGUCAUCGGAAUUCCUUGUGUAGCGGUGAAAUGCGUAGAUAUAAGGAAGAACACCAGUGGCGAAGGCGGAUAACUGGACGGCAACUGACGGUGAGGCGCGAAAGCGUGGGGAGCAAACAGGAUUAGAUACCCGUGUAGUC